UUUUUUUUUUUAUUCAUUUAUUAUAUAUAAGUACACUGUAGCUGUCUUCUGGUCUCCAAAGGCACUGCAUGCACAAGACAGACAUGCAUGCAGGAAACUGGAGCGCCCAUCCUGACAGACGAUGUCAGCCUGCAGGUGUUCAUGGAUCAUUUGAAGAAGCUGGCUGUGUCCAGUGCCUCUUAAGCUAGUAGCACAGCCUAGAAGUGGAAGAAAAUGCUGUCAGAUUGUGCUCACAUUGUUGAUAGUGUCCUAGCAUCAUUCACCUUUCUGGGAGAUUCUAAUAAAUAACCCACGGCUUUUUUUAUAUGUAUGUCUUCAGGUUAUAGUAUGUCUUCAGGUUAUAAUUUAUUUGUAGUCCUCUCUACCUGUUUUCAUAUACAUG
This 382-nucleotide long non-coding RNA is filed under the name Rattus norvegicus (Norway rat). Its description in RNAcentral is "long non-coding RNA NONRATT018667". Lineage: Eukaryota; Metazoa; Chordata; Mammalia; Rodentia; Muridae. The record is from RNAcentral.